AAGUCGUAACAAGGUUUCCGUACGUGAACCUGCGGAAGGAUCAUUAACACGUAUCCAACGUUAAACCCCCUGUGAACUUUCAUCGUGCUCUUGCAUCCUAGGAACAGCAAUCCUAGUUAUUGAUUCAGGACCUCUCGCCGUCGUAGGAGAAAAACGAACAACUGUUAACAAUGGAUAUCUUGGUUCUC
Molecule: unclassified non-coding RNA, 188 nt
Filed under: fungal sp.
Lineage: Eukaryota; Fungi
Description: partial internal transcribed spacer region
Rfam family: Eukaryotic small subunit ribosomal RNA (bases 1-46)
Source: RNAcentral